AAUGUGGUUCCGGUUAAAAGGGAAACAGGUGAAAAUCCUGUGCGAACUCGUCACUGUAAUAUUGGAGCAUGUGCCAAAAUGCCACUGGGAAACUGGGAAGGCGGCGCGUGUUAUGAUAAUUAAGUCAGGAAACCUGCCCGUUGUGUA
Molecule: non-coding RNA, 147 nt
Filed under: Candidatus Neoanaerotignum tabaqchaliae
Lineage: Bacteria; Bacillati; Bacillota; Clostridia
Source: RNAcentral